Molecule: non-coding RNA, 120 nt
Filed under: Cavia porcellus (domestic guinea pig)
Lineage: Eukaryota; Metazoa; Chordata; Mammalia; Rodentia; Caviidae
Description: Eukaryotic large subunit ribosomal RNA
Rfam family: Eukaryotic large subunit ribosomal RNA
Source: Rfam by way of RNAcentral
AUGGUGAACUAUAACUGGGCAGGACAAACCCAGAGGAAACUCUGGUAUAGUUCCACAGAGAUCCUGAUGUUCAAAUUGACCAUCCAACCUGGGUAUAGAGGUGAAGAUUCCCUACUCUAU